This 259-nucleotide ribosomal RNA is filed under the name uncultured Peritrichia. RNAcentral's name for it is "partial 28S ribosomal RNA". It matches the Rfam family "Eukaryotic large subunit ribosomal RNA", at positions 1 to 266 of the family's 3401-position model. The record is from RNAcentral. Lineage: Eukaryota; Ciliophora; Oligohymenophorea.
CUGAAAUAAGCAAGAGUACCCGCUGAACUUAAGCAUAUCAGUAAGCGGAGGAAAAGAAAAUAACAAUGAUUACCUUAGUAGCGGCGAGUGAAUAGGUAAAAGCCCAAGAUGUUAAUCUGCUAUAAAGUAGUAGAAUUGUAAUCUAUGGAGUAGCUCGGAAGGUUGAGACUCAUCAUAAGUGCCUUGGAAAAGGACGCCAGAGAAGGUGAAAGCCCUGUCUUCGGAUGAGUCGAGGCGAUACGAGAUAUUUCUAAGAGUC